GCCAGGCGUGGUGGCGCAUGCCUGUAAUCCCAGCUACUCAGGAGGCUGAGGCAGGAGAAUCACUUGAAUCCGGGAGGCGGAGGUUGCAGUGAGCCGAGAUGGUGCCACUGCACUCCAGCCUGGGUGACAGAGUGAGACUCCGUCUCAA
Molecule: small RNA, 148 nt
Filed under: Pongo abelii (Sumatran orangutan)
Lineage: Eukaryota; Metazoa; Chordata; Mammalia; Primates; Hominidae
Description: Metazoan signal recognition particle RNA (ENSPPYG00000036660.1)
Source: Rfam by way of RNAcentral